Helicoverpa armigera (cotton bollworm) is the source of this 4779-nucleotide long non-coding RNA. RefSeq lists it as uncharacterized. The record is from RefSeq and is a predicted model, not a curated record. NCBI's taxonomy places the organism in Eukaryota, Metazoa, Arthropoda, Insecta, Lepidoptera, Noctuidae. The transcript has 2 exons.
AGGAACGUUAUGAAUAUCAUUUUUAAACGUAUUGAUAAAGAUCCGUUUGAUUGGACUAUACGUAUACAGGAUCAUUUGUAUCCUAUUACAAAACAUAAACAUGGUUCAUGUUGACAACAUGAUUAAACAUCGUAGGUGGUGUGAAAGCCAAAACAUUUGUGAAUCUAUAGGUGGCGUACCUAAUAUUACAGUGUAGGAACAAAAAGUGAGUGCGUUAUGACGGGGUUGUGAUAAAACAUUAAGCGAGUGUAGGCGAACUCUCUUCUAAUGUACAAUUAAAAAAAUGAGUGCGUAUAAACAAUAUUGUCACACAGGAACUUUAAAGUCCUAGUGUUUACAGAAAAUAAAAACUAUAUAAUUCGCGAGCAUAUGUACUAUUUGAUUAAAACAGUUUGUGAAGUGAAAAAACUAAACGACGUGAAAGUGAACUUAUAUACUGUUUUAUGGCUUUAAAUUUGCCAGCAUUAAACAAAACUACUUAAAAUAUUUACGCCAGCAUUUUAUAAUACAGGAUAAUUUUUAAGCUGUACGCAAAAAAUCUUCGGUUCAGAAUCAUUAACAGUUCUGCAUUAUAAGUUUUAAGAAAAAUAUUAUUUUUUUAUCCGUGCUAAAAUCUUGUAGUUACCGUAAGUGCGAUCUUCAGUCGCCUUCUACCUUAAGAAUUUAUGUAGUACCUAUGACGACGUGACGACGUAUGACCAUGUAACAUCUUUUGUUAUCAAUAACUUUUUUUUUUGUACGAAAACAUCAAAGUAAAGUAUACGUAUUUAUUAACUUGUUCGACUAUGAGUUGUCAAAGUUUGCGCAUUUGUUAAAAAAUUAUCCUGUGGUGGCUUUAUAGCCCAGCAUUAAGAAAUAUAGAGGAAUGAAGUCUGUGACCCAGGAGAGGGCACAUAGAAGACAUAGAUGGAAGAAGGAAGCAUACGGGUGAUGAGAAAAACUAUAUUUCAGUAUAGGUACCCGUGCAGUGGAAGAAUAAUGUUGGAACUAAAAAGUGAGUGUGAGAAGGUCAAGGAACGUAACUUGCUUAUGGAACUGAAUAUUUCAGAUGUAAGCAAGACAAACUAUGUAUUCAAUAUUUGAAUGUUACUAAAGUAUGUUUUCAAUAUGUGUGUAUAUAGCUCCAUUUCAAUUCCAGGCAAAUUAUGUAAAAUUUUAUUAAAUAUUUUUUAUGGUCCCCCUGAAAACUGUGUUAUUUUAUAAUGUAGCCGAAAUAUUAUAGGUACAGGAUGUCGAUUUAUCACUGGCUGAAAAUUCAGAGAGCAAAAUUUCAAUUAACCAAAUGCAAACACAAUUCGAAUCUAGAUCUAGACAUUUUUCAUAUGCAAAUAUGAAUAUCAAUCCUGCAGUUGAUUGAAUCAGCAACCUGUAUGUAUGGACGUGCAGUAUUCCAAGUAAGUAAUUUUAUGUACUUCAUGUGUGUGAACAUAUUAGCCGAAGUAAUUCGAGGUAGUAUAAUUUUGUUUGAAGUUUCUUUAUGAUAUUAAAGCACGAUCAAUAUCUUUUCAAAAAAACUUAUUAUUUACAACCACUUGAGCAAAUAUUUUUUAUAAAUCUAAAUAAAUAAUUUAAAGGUCGUUAAAAUAAUAGUUUUUUUCUUUGUAAGACGAUUUAGGCCAUGGUUAAUAUGUUCAUCACUUCGGACAUACUCUGUUAGUACUACUAGGUUUCAAAUAAAUAAUAUUGUAUUGUUUUUUUUUAUUAAAUCCGGAAUAUAAUUAAACCACCUGAAAGACAUGCCGAAACCAAAAUUGAAAUAAAAAUAAAAGACAUUUCAAUUUCAUUUGCCGAAUUUCAUAGAGUCCAUACCGCACAUGUUUGCAGAUGGAAUUUCAAUAUUUGAAAUGUUAGACUGUUUCUACUUUCUCAAUAUAACUGUUGUUGUUGUUACAGCCUUUUUAUCGUCCCACUGCUGGGCACAGGCCUCCUCUCACAUGGAGAAGGAUUGAGCAUUAAUCACCACGCUUGCUCAAUGCGGGUUGGUGAUUUCAGACUUUAUAGUCCAGGUUUCCUCAAGAUGUUUUCCUUCACCUUUUUAUCAGCCAUUGGUGUCUAAGUAUACUUAAUACUCAAUAUAAGUUACUCAAUAUAACUGUACCUAGUAAUAAUUUUAAUGAGACCCCAAAAACUGUGACAAACUGUUGCCAAUUCAUUGUUUGAUGUGCUUUUCAUAAGCACUAGUAGGUACCGACUUUGAACCAUUCCGCUUAAAGCUUAAAAGGUAAUGAAAUAUAUAACAAUACCUUUUCCUACGAAAUGUACUGAUUUUCAUUACUGUGCACUUCUGCAGUCUAAUAUUAAUUUCGCGGAAAGAUGACCGUCUCUUUCAAUUCUGUGACAUUUGAAAAGUUAAUAUAACUUCAGUCUGACUUUAGAUAGCUGAUGCUUAUCUCAAAGUAUUACAAGGAAACCUUUUUCCUUUUUGAUUUCCUUGUAUAAAGGGGAUUGAAGAAACUGCACUUCAAAUGAUUCACAGAUCAAAAUGACAAAUCUCCCAAAACAUUCAAAUGAUUUGCACAAAAUAUUUUUGACUGUUCGACGCGAUGUCUAUUUGUUCGUGAAUAGCAAUUACAUUGAAAAGCGAAACAAGAGUUACAUUUCCAUUCAAUGGCAAUUCCGAACAAUAAGAUUCAAUGUUUUAAUUAAACAUUUAUCCUCCUGUCGUAAUCCAGAAGUUGAUCUGCGUAAAAUGACUUUAGUCCCGGCUUGUGAAAAGUGAAAUUAUCCGACGUGCGCCUUGCCUACCCAUAGACAUUGCGUAACAAACUUUUCCGGACAGCCGCGAAAGCGUUUACCUCAAACUUUAAACCCAACUCGGAAUUUCAUUAAUAUUUUUUUGUACUUUUGUUCAGUAAACUUUGAUAAUAUUCCAGUCUAGAUUGUGAUUGGUAGGGUGUUUUCGUAUUUUUCUAUUUAUCUAGUGUACAUAGCUAAGAUUUUGUACAUUUUGAUACUGAAAUAUAGGCUAUAGAGAGCAUAAGUCUGUCUUUCCUUAAAUGUGAAUUGUAAAUAAUAAUUAAGUAAAUAUGUAAAUAAUAAUAUCAUAUAUUUUUCUACUGUGUCCUGGUAUAUUAUGCUGACUCGCUUACAGGGGUACUCGGAAUAUCGCAUCUAAGACGACUCGGAGCAAUCAUAAUAUCGGAUCACGUCGAAAGUUACAUGAACCGACCAUCUCUAAAAGACAUAGAAUAUUCAAUCACUCUGCACAUACAUAUAUUAUAAGAAUACCUAGAUCAUACUUAAACAUUGGUGCACUAGCACUUAGCAUUUGAAAACGGGAAGCAGGGUUUGAUAAUAAUUCCUCCUCCAUUGCCAAAAUACAAAAUACGAUUUCAGAGUACCCCAGCGAUUCGCAGAAAUUAUUUAUAAAAUUGUAAAAAAUAUUUCAAACCUGUUUUGUACAUUUUGUAUUCAUUUUGAAACUUUGAAAUACGUUUUUUUAUUAUUAUUGAAUAUUCAUUUCAUGAAUUUAUAUAUGUACCUGUCUUUGUUAUUACAAAAAAACGGUGUGAACCUUUGUUGUUAGCUAGACACUUUUAAACAAUGCAUUGGUCAAAACAAUGAUUAUUUUAGCCUAUUACGAAACAUUAGUCCGAGUUAAAGAAUAGGUAUUCAUUCAGCGGAUUCAUUCAUUCUUAUCCUGCCCAUUCUCCUUUCUAAUAUCAAUGGACACAAUAUGUUAAUGUACAAAUAAAUAAAAGUUUUCAUUAACAAUUGCUUGAACAAUGUCUGAACGUUUAAUUCUAACUGCUCUUUCUUUACUGCUGUGUAUCCCACAGGCGUCUGCUUUCCUAAUUUUUCUUCUCCAUUUUGCUCUAUCUACAACAUCGCUCUCGGAUACCUGGCACUUCUUCAUAUCUUUCGCCAUUAUGCCAUAUAGUUUCGGGGCGGCCUUUUUGACUAGAGGCCCAUCCCCAGCUAGCAGUUGCAGCGCCCUGUCUUAGCUAACUACGAUAUACAUAAUCACCAAAAAUAUAUAAAUUUUUGUCAUCCAUUCUCGAUCACGUCUUGCUAGAAUCCCCUUUUUUCGUGGCCGUCCCACCAUAGUCGAUUCUCUUGCAAUUUUACUCGUCUGCGAUUAUAUCGCUCACCCCUUAACUUUAACCGUUAUCUAAGAUUCUAUUUUUUAAUUAUAUUUUGUUUAUAUAAUGUGCCAAUAAUAAUCUGUUAUACUUUGAUUAGGUAUAUAUUUACACUUUGAGACUGAACUAUGUAUUAUGUUAUGUUAUAUUAAAUUAUGUACUGUGAUUUGUUAUUACGGGUUGUUGUUCAUUCGUCAUUAAGUAAGUAUCAUCAAAAAGUAUGUAAUUGUUACAUCUCGUUUUUAGUGAUUUUUCUUGAAUUUUGUGGACCCAGCUAUUUAUAGCGUGGUUUAUAAACAGCAACCCGUGUUACGUUGCAUCUUAGCAUUAAUAAUACUUUGUUAAUUAAUAUUAAGUUGAUACCUAUACCUAACUGUGAUUCAAUACUCUUGUUUUUUUCUAGGUUUUUUCUAAAUUUUGACUAAUAUUUGGAUUUUUAAUGAAUUAAGUAUAUGAAUUAUAUUGUAUACAUAUAAUACAUACAUGCAAUAUAUCAUUUGUAUACCAAUUAAUAUACAAAAAAAUUGUUUAAUGGUUCCUCAAACCAACACAGACAGACAUGUGUUGCUGGGGAGUUUGUUCCGCCACUUCUUCUUCCCAGCAAAAACACAUAGGAAGUGGUGAUGGGCGGGCGUUUUGUGGGCUGUCUAUUGUGAAUUUUUAAAUUUCAAAAGUUAGAAUAAAUGAAUUGGAAUUU